RNAcentral lists this ribosomal RNA (547 nucleotides) under uncultured bacterium. RNAcentral describes it as "bacterial SSU rRNA". It matches the Rfam family "Bacterial small subunit ribosomal RNA", at positions 358 to 916 of the family's 1533-position model. The record is from RNAcentral.
GGAAUAUUGGGCAAUGGAGGAAACUCUGACCCAGCGACGCCGCGUGAGGGAUGAAGGCCUUCGGGUUGUAAACCUCUUUCAGUAGGGAAGAAGCGAAAGUGACGGUACCUACAGAAGAAGCACCGGCUAACUAUGUGCCAGCAGCCGCGGUAAUACAUAGGGUGCAAGCGUUGUCCGGAAUUAUUGGGCGUAAAGAGCUCGUAGGUGGUUCGUCACGUCGGAUGUGAAACUCUGGGGCUUAACCCCAGACCUGCAUUCGAUACGGGCGAGCUUGAGUAUGGUAGGGGAGUCUGGAAUUCCUGGUGUAGCGGUGGAAUGCGCAGAUAUCAGGAGGAACACCAAUGGCGAAGGCAGGACUCUGGGCCAUUACUGACACUGAGGAGCGAAAGCGUGGGGAGCGAACAGGAUUAGAUACCCUGGUAGUCCACGCCGUAAACGGUGGGCACUAGUUGUGGGGACCUUCCACGGUCUCUGCGACGCAGCUAACGCAUUAAGUGCCCCGCCUGGGGAGUACGAUCGCAAGAUUAAAACUCAAAGGAAUUGACGG